GAUGAACGCUAGCUACAGGCUUAACACAUGCAAGUCGCGGGGCAGCAUGGGGGUUGCUUGCAAUCCCCGAUGGCGACCGGCGCACGGGUGAGUAACGCGUAUCCAACCUGCCCUUCACCACGGGAUAACCCGGCGAAAGUCGGACUAAUACCGUAUGUUGUCCAUUGACGGCAUCCGAUUUGGACGAAAGGCUUGGCGGUGAGGGGUGGGGAUGCUUCCGAUUAGCCAGACGGCGGGGUAACGGCCCACCGUGGCUACGAUCGGUAGGGGUUCUGAGAGGAAGGUCCCCCACACUGGAACUGAGACACGGUCCAGACUCCUACGGGAGGCAGCAGUGAGGAAUAUUGGUCAAUGGGCGUAAGCCUGAACCAGCCAAGUAGCGUGCAGGAUGACGGCCCUAUGGGUUGUAAACUGCUUUUAUGCGGGGAUAAAGUGGCCCACGUGUGGGCUUUUGCAGGUACCGCAUGAAUAAGGACCGGCUAAUUCCGUG
Molecule: ribosomal RNA, 490 nt
Filed under: uncultured bacterium
Lineage: Bacteria
Description: partial 16S ribosomal RNA
Rfam family: Bacterial small subunit ribosomal RNA
Source: RNAcentral